AGAUAACUCCGAGUCCUCACGGUGAGGAUAGGAGUAACGGCUGUGUGGCACAGCCAUCGGUACACCUGUUCGACUCAGAGAGCGGUUGCUUUGCACCGCGAGAACAGGUCGUGUCGUAGACUAGCAAAUAUCCCACCUGCGGUACGGGAAGCCCGGUCGUUCACGACGGGGA
This is a small RNA of Haloferax volcanii DS2, 172 nucleotides long. It matches the Rfam family "Sense overlapping transcript RNA 0042 (sot)". From Rfam's summary of the family: It is associated with IS1341-type transposase (tnpB) genes, at the 3'-end in H. salinarum NRC-1. The tetraloop structural motif may be functional. The record is from Rfam. NCBI's taxonomy places the organism in Archaea, Methanobacteriati, Methanobacteriota, Halobacteria, Halobacteriales, Haloferacaceae.